GGCCAGGACCAGAUGUAGGAAGAGAUCAGGCAGUUCCAAUUGGGAGGGGACAUGAUGUUCCUGCCUUAUUACGGCAGCGGAGAGAAGGAGUGGGCGUGGAGCUAGAUGUUGUAGAUGCCCCUGACCUUACCACAUUUCAGGGGUUGGUUGCUCAGCAGAUCAGCAAGAUGAACGCGCAAGCUUCGCCUGGGUUUGACUGUGUGGCUGCCCCUUUCAUAAAGCAUGCCGUGGUAGAGCGCCCACGACUAGGUAGGCGAGGGUAUGAUAGGGUCAAUGUUCUCCAGCCUUACAUUGCGCAGCUGUUCAAGCUCCUGUAUGAGAAAGCCCGCAUUCCUGCUGAUUGGAAGAAAGCUAAGAUGGCGCCGCUAUACAAGGAGGGUGCUUUCUUGGACCCGAACAAUUAUCGCAUGCUUGCAGUCAGUGGCACGUUUUAUCGUAUGUAUGCGAAUGUGCUCGGGUCGUUGAUUACUGAUUGGUGCAUGAGUAGGGGCAAAAUACCAGACACUCAGUUUGGGU
RNAcentral lists this long non-coding RNA (516 nucleotides) under Dunaliella salina. Its description in RNAcentral is "long non-coding RNA (DSAL_LNC000262)". The record is from RNAcentral. Lineage: Eukaryota; Viridiplantae; Chlorophyta; Chlorophyceae; Chlamydomonadales; Dunaliellaceae.